CAGUAGCCGCGGGAAUACGGAGGGUGCAAGCGUUAAUCGGAAUUACUGGGCGUAAAGCGCACGCAGGCGGUCUGACAAGUCAGAUGUGAAAUCCCCGGGCUUAACCUUGGAACUGCAUUUGAAACUGUCAGGCUGGAGUCUUGUAGAGGGGGGUGGAAUUCCAGGUGUAGCGGUGAAAUGCGUAGAGAUCUGGAGGAAUACCGGUGGCGAAGGCGGCCCCCUGGACAAAGACUGACGCUCAGGUGCGAAAGCGUGGGGAGCAAACAGGAUUAGAUACCCGGGUAGUCCCUGUCUCUUAUAA
Molecule: ribosomal RNA, 301 nt
Filed under: uncultured bacterium
Lineage: Bacteria
Description: partial 16S ribosomal RNA
Rfam family: Bacterial small subunit ribosomal RNA
Source: RNAcentral